This is a long non-coding RNA of Amblyraja radiata (thorny skate), 193 nucleotides long. RefSeq lists it as uncharacterized. The record is from RefSeq and is a predicted model, not a curated record. NCBI's taxonomy places the organism in Eukaryota, Metazoa, Chordata, Chondrichthyes, Rajiformes, Rajidae. The transcript is spliced from 3 exons.
CCUGUGAAGGCGGAGAAGAACAACAGACAGCCAACCAUGUCAUCUCUGGGUGCCCGCUCUACCACCCACCAAAUGGAGCUGUGUCAGGGCCUGGCAGACAAUGACGUCAACAGAGACAACAACCAUGCUGCUUCAACACCCGGCUUGAGAUCUAACUAUUCCUUUGGUUUAUGUUUCAUUCGCAAGAAGAAGA